GCUCCUGUGGCUCAGUGGUAGAGUACGUCCUUGGUAAGGACGGGGUCGCGAGUUCAAUUCUCGCCAGGAGCU
RNAcentral lists this transfer RNA (72 nucleotides) under Candidatus Pacearchaeota archaeon. RNAcentral's name for it is "tRNA-Thr". It matches the Rfam family "tRNA". From Rfam's summary of the family: Transfer RNA (tRNA) molecules are approximately 80 nucleotides in length. Their secondary structure includes four short double-helical elements and three loops (D, anti-codon, and T loops). The record is from RNAcentral. Lineage: Archaea; Nanobdellati.